ACUCCUACGGGAGGCAGCAGUGGGGAAUCUUGGACAAUGGGCGCAAGCCUGAUCCAGCCAUGCCGCGUGAGUGAUGAAGGCCCUAGGGUCGUAAAGCUCUUUCGCCAGGGAUGAUAAUGACAGUACCUGGUAAAGAAACCCCGGCUAACUCCGUGCCAGCAGCCGCGGUAAUACGGAGGGGGUUAGCGUUGUUCGGAAUUACUGGGGCGUAAAGCGCACGUAGGCGGAUCGGAAAGUUGGGGGUGAAAUCCCGGGGGCUCAACCCCGGAACUGCCUCCAAAACUAUCGGUCUAGAGUUCGAGAGAGGUGAGUGGAAUUCCGAGUGUAGAGGUGAAAUUCGUAGAUAUUCGGAGGAACACCAGUGGCGAAGGCGGCUCACUGGCUCGAUACUGACGCUGAGGUGCGAAAGUGUGGGGAGCAAACAGGAUUAGAUACCCUGGUAGCACAGAG
RNAcentral lists this ribosomal RNA (450 nucleotides) under uncultured bacterium. Its description in RNAcentral is "bacterial SSU rRNA". It matches the Rfam family "Bacterial small subunit ribosomal RNA", at positions 335 to 800 of the family's 1533-position model. The record is from RNAcentral.